RNAcentral lists this ribosomal RNA (224 nucleotides) under Neogloboquadrina pachyderma. Its description in RNAcentral is "partial small subunit ribosomal RNA". Lineage: Eukaryota; Foraminifera; Rotaliida; Globorotaliidae. The record is from RNAcentral.
UUAACAUCGAGUGUUAAAUAUGCUAGUCCUUUCAUGAUUAUGUGAUAGGUGGUGCAUGGCCGUUCUUAGUUCGUGGAGUGAUCUGUCUGCUUAAUUGCGUUUCACUAAGGGCCCAUAAAUUCAAGGUAUGUUAGCUCUCGUCGCUCUAUGGACCCCUUAACUCCAAUAUUCUUAUUGUGUUAAGCGCGUGUCUUUAUUUUAAGAGUUUUAAGACACUGCGCAUG